GCUGAUUUAUUAUGAUCUUACAAUUAUGAUAUAGGAAAGAUUACAUAGACGAUUCGACAACCGACAAUACUACCUGCCUUAUGAAGACCUACGCCUAACUGCAUCACCUGAGCCGUCCUAUGAAAAUCUACGCUUGACUAGAUUUACUUGCACCAUGUUGAAGAUCUCUUGCAAGUCAUUCCUCUUUAGUCUGUAUAAUUGUUUAAUAAACCGCUCUCUCCGGGACUUGAAACUUGGAUUUCCUGUAAUCUGCAAUAAAUUGCAUAGUCUGGGAUUCGAACCCCAGACCUGGGUGUAGAAGCCUUUAAACCUUAACCAAUAGGCUACGGUGCUUCCACACGGGAAAUUACAUUAAGAUUUAAAAAUAUAUAUUAAAAUUUUAAAUAUAGAUAUUACGUAAAUAGAAAGUAUAACAAAUGGAAAUAUACAAUUUAAAAAAUUGGAAAACGUACAUUAAGAUUUAAACAUCUAUCUUAAAAUAUAAAAUAGAGAUAUUAAGUAAAUGAAAAGUACAAGAAAUGGAAAUACAUAUACAGGAAAAUAAAUAAUAAGUAAAUAAUGUAAAUAUAUAAUAUAUGAAUUAUAUAUGUAAUAAUAAGUAAAUACACAAUUUUUAAAAAAUGGAAAAAGUUCAUCAAGCAUUAAACAUCUAUCUUAAAAUGUAAAAUAUAUAAUAUAAGUAAAUACACAAUUUAAAAAAUGAAAAAAGUACAUUAAUAUUUAAAUAUCUAUUUUAAAAUACAAAAUAUAGAUAUUACGUAAAUAAAAAUAUAAGAAAUGAAAAUAAACAUUUUAAAAAAUGGAAAAAGUACAUUAAAAUUUAAGCAUCUAUCUUAAAAUGUACUUAUAUCUUAAAAUGGUAGUAAAUUAUAUAAAAAUGCAAAUACCACCUUAAAAAAAAUGUAUAGUUUUACAUCAAGAAAGUCCCUAUAAAACUCAUUAUUCCAUCCACAUCAACCUCACACUAUUAAGGAAAAUUUCAAAGCACUCGAGCAAAAAAAUGGUUUCACCAUCAACUCUUGCCGUCCCAGAAACCUUUAAUGACCUUGACUGAGAUUUUUUUAUAACAACAAACUUUUUGUUAGGUGGAUUCAUUGUUGGGAAACCCGCAACUUCCAAAAGCCGAACUUAUUCAUGGGAAUUGAAUUGCUUUUCAUAGACUCAAAGGUAUUCUUACAAAUUUAAAUUAAUCGAAUCCAUAAUUUUAUUAUUAAUAUUCAUACUAACUCUCUCAUGACCAAAC
Molecule: long non-coding RNA, 1243 nt
Filed under: Brassica rapa (field mustard)
Lineage: Eukaryota; Viridiplantae; Streptophyta; Magnoliopsida; Brassicales; Brassicaceae
Description: long non-coding RNA (BRAP_LNC003442)
Source: RNAcentral